ACUCCUACGGGAGGCAGCAGUGGGGAAUAUUGGACAAUGGGCGCAAGCCUGAUCCAGCCAUGCCGCGUGAGUGAUGAAGGCCCUAGGGUUGUAAAGCUCUUUCACCGGUGAAGAUAAUGACGGUAACCGGAGAAGAAGCCCCGGCUAACUUCGUGCCAGCAGCCGCGGUAAUACGAAGGGGGCUAGCGUUGUUCGGAUUUACUGGGCGUAAAGCGCACGUAGGCGGACUAUUAAGUCAGGGGUGAAAUCCCGGGGCUCAACCCCGGAACUGCCUUUGAUACUGGUAGUCUUGAGUUCGAGAGAGGUGAGUGGAAUUCCGAGUGUAAAGGUGAAAUUCGUAGAUAUUCGGAGGAACACCAGUGGCGAAGGCGGCUCACUGGCUCGAUACUGACGCUGAGGUGCGAAAGCGUGGGGAGCAAACAGGAUUAGAUACCCGUGUAGUCCCA
This 446-nucleotide ribosomal RNA is filed under the name uncultured organism. Its description in RNAcentral is "partial 16S ribosomal RNA". It matches the Rfam family "Bacterial small subunit ribosomal RNA", at positions 335 to 797 of the family's 1533-position model. The record is from RNAcentral.